Bombina bombina (fire-bellied toad) is the source of this 958-nucleotide long non-coding RNA. RefSeq lists it as uncharacterized. The transcript is spliced from 3 exons. The record is from RefSeq and is a predicted model, not a curated record. NCBI's taxonomy places the organism in Eukaryota, Metazoa, Chordata, Amphibia, Anura, Bombinatoridae.
CGUGUACAUGCUGACUGCAGACGCGGUACUGGCUUGAGGAUGUGACGUCACUAUUGAGUGAAAGCGUCGGCAAAGCUGAAAGUCUGUGUGAAGAGACCCGCUGUACUUACCAGAACUUGACUGAGGCGUGCUUGAGGCUGAUCCCCCUGCAGAGUAAUUUUUUGGAUCUAGAAAACAUCAAGGUAAAGAGACAGCUCUCUGUUGCCUGCCAGAUUUGUCUGUCCGACUCGCGCUCCGGCCCCCUGUGACAACAACCUUCGGAAGUAUUCUGUCCCUGACCUGCUCCUCCCAACUGUUAAAUCGUACCGUCUUUGAUGUGGAGCGCAUUAGUGACAUUUUCCUUUUCACCAGCGCCCUGCAAUCAUAAUACCUAUAAAUAAACAUUCAGCUAGAUUACGAGUUUUGCGUUAUGUGUAAAAAAGCCUCAUAAUGCUGCUUUUUCACUACCGCUGCUAUUACGAGUCUUGUAGGUAUAGCUGUAACGCACACUUUUUUGGCCGUAACACAACGUAAUUACCGCACCUUUCAAAAAGUCCUUUUUCAAUGGGACUUCCAUAACGCCGGAAUUACGAGUUUUGCCUGGGAAGUCAAAAUGUGAGUGGUACAGCCUAUACCGACAAGAUUCAUACCGCCAUCUAAAGUCAGUAGUUAUGGGUUUUGCGCUACAAAGCUGUAGCAUAAAACUCAUAACUAAAGUGUUACAAAGUGCACUAACACCCAUAAACUACCUAUUAACCCCUAAACCGAGGCCCCCCGCAUCUCAAACACUAAAAUAAAAUGAUUAACCCCUAAUCUGCCACUCCAGACAUUGCCGCCACUAUAAUAAACAUAUUAACCCCUAAACCGCUGCACUCCCGCAUCGCAAACACUAGUUAAAUAUUAACUCCUAAUCUGCCGCCCCCAACAUCACCGCCACCACUAUACUAAAGUUAUUAACCCAUAAACCUAACCCUAAGUC